Molecule: ribosomal RNA, 433 nt
Filed under: uncultured bacterium
Lineage: Bacteria
Description: bacterial SSU rRNA
Rfam family: Bacterial small subunit ribosomal RNA
Source: RNAcentral
GAACGCGAAGAACCUUACCAGGUCUUGACAUCCCGAUGCUAUUUCUAGAGAUAGAAAGUUACUUCGGUACAUCGGUGACAGGUGGUGCAUGGUUGUCGUCAGCUCGUGUCGUGAGAUGUUGGGUUAAGUCCCGCAACGAGCGCAACCCCUAUUGUUAGUUGCCAUCAUUCAGUUGGGCACUCUAGCGAGACUGCCGGUAAUAAACCGGAGGAAGGUGGGGAUGACGUCAAAUCAUCAUGCCCCUUAUGACCUGGGCUACACACGUGCUACAAUGGUUGGUACAACGAGUUGCGAGUCGGUGACGGCGAGCUAAUCUCUUAAAGCCAAUCUCAGUUCGGAUUGUAGGCUGCAACUCGCCUACAUGAAGUCGGAAUCGCUAGUAAUCGCGGAUCAGCACGCCGCGGUGAAUACGUUCCCGGGUCUUGUACACACC